CAGAGUUCUUUGCAACUCCCAACCCUGUGAACCAUACCAACUUUUUGUUCUCGUUGCUUUCUGGCAGGCGGCCCCUCCGCAAAGAGGGGCACGCAGGCUCCGGUGCCACGCCCGGGCGCCUGCCAGAGGUGGCUUGCUCAAACCUUUCUUUUUUUCUUUUACCUAACCGUCUGAGAACGAUUUUCACAAAUCAAAUCA
Molecule: unclassified non-coding RNA, 198 nt
Filed under: uncultured Sporothrix
Lineage: Eukaryota; Fungi; Ascomycota; Sordariomycetes; Ophiostomatales; Ophiostomataceae
Description: sequence contains ITS1
Source: RNAcentral